CUCCUCAAUGUUCUGGGCGACACGCGCACUACAAUGUCAGUGAGAACAAGAACUCGGACUUUUAGUCCGCUCCAUCUUGAUUCAAGAGAGAUGGAAAACACCGGAAUCACAUAGACCCAAUUGGGACCGAGGAUUGCAAUUGUUGGUCGCGCAACGAGGAAUGUCUCGUAAGCGCAGCUCAUCAAACUGUGCUGAUUACGUCCCUGCCAUUUGUACACACCGCCCGUCGUUGUUUCCGAUGAUGGUGCAAUACAGGUGAUCGGACCGACGAACCUUUGGUUUGUUGUGGAAGUUCACCGAUAUUUCUUCAAUAGAGGAAGCAAAAGUCGUANCA
This 334-nucleotide ribosomal RNA is filed under the name uncultured eukaryote. RNAcentral's name for it is "partial 18S ribosomal RNA". It matches the Rfam family "Eukaryotic small subunit ribosomal RNA", at positions 1470 to 1796 of the family's 1831-position model. The record is from RNAcentral.